Molecule: ribosomal RNA, 907 nt
Filed under: uncultured Planctomycetota bacterium
Lineage: Bacteria; Pseudomonadati; Planctomycetota
Description: bacterial SSU rRNA
Rfam family: Bacterial small subunit ribosomal RNA
Source: RNAcentral
AGAGUUUGAUCCUGGCUCAGAACAAACGCUGGCGGCGUGGCUAAGACAUGCAAGUCGAACGGACCGUUAAUUUAUUAAUGGUUAGUGGCGAAAGGGUUAGGAACGGACAGGUAACGUACCCUGUGCUCUGGGAUAGCGUCGUUCGCUUUCGGGCGAGCUACCGAAAGGGGCGGUAAUACCGGAUAAUAUCAUUUGUUGAUGGACAGAUGUUCAAAGAUUUAUCGGCACAGGAGCGGCCUAUCUCCUAUCAGCUUGUUGGUGAGGUAAUAGCUCACCAAGGCGACGACGGGUAGCGGGACUGAGAGGUUGGCCCGCAACAUCGGGACUGAGACACUGCCCGGACCUCCACGGAGGGCUGCAGUAACGAAUCUUGCGCAAUGGGCGAAAGCCUGACGCAGCGACGCCGCGUGUAGGAGGAAGUCUUUCGGGAUGUAAACUACUGUCAGGGGGAAGAAAGUCCGCUUCGGCGGAUUGAUCCAACCCAAAGGAAGUCACGGCUAACUUCGUGCCAGCAGCCGCGGUAAGACGAAGGUGGCAAGCGUUGUUCGGUAUUACUGGGCUUAAAGCGUGUGUAGGCGGAAAGGUAAGCGUCCUGUGAAAGCCCCCGGCUCAACCGGGGAACUGCUCGACGAACUGCCUUUCUUGAGGCAAGUAGGGGUGCAUGGAACUCUUGGUGGAGCGGUGGAAUGCGUAGAUAUCAAGAGGAACGCCGGCGGUGAAAACGGUGCACUGGGCUUGUUCUGACGCUGAGACACGAAAGCGUGGGUAGCGAACGGGAUUAGAUACCCCGGUAGUCCACGCCGUAAACGAUGCCUACUAGGUUGUGAAAGUUCUGACACUGGCACAGCCGAAGCAAAAGUGUUAAGUAGGCCGCCUGGGGAGUACGGUCGCAAGGCUAAAACUCAAA